CAGUAAUGAGGCUGGGGCAGUAAUGAGUCUUGGGCAGUAAUAAGUCUUGGGGCAGUAAUGAGGCUGGGCAGUAAUGAGUCUUGGGGCAGUAAUGAGGCUGGGGCAGUAAUGAGUCUUGGGGAAGUAAUGAGUCUUGGGGCUGUAAUGAGUCUUGCGGCAGUAAUAAGGCUGGGGCAGUAAUGAGUCUUGGGGCAGUAAUGAGUCUUGGGUCAUAAUGAGUCUGGGGCAGUAAUGAGUCUUGAGGCAGUAAUGAGACUGGGGCAGUAAUGAGUCUGGGGCAGUAAUGAGUCUUGGGGCAGUAAUGAGUCUGGGGCAGUAAUGAGUCUUGGGGCAGUAAUGAGUCUUGAGGCAGUAAUGAGACUGGGGCAGUAAUGAGUCUGGGGCAGUAAUGAGUCUUGG
Long non-coding RNA from Ictalurus punctatus (channel catfish), 399 nucleotides. The record is from Ensembl. Lineage: Eukaryota; Metazoa; Chordata; Actinopteri; Siluriformes; Ictaluridae.